This 69-nucleotide transfer RNA is filed under the name Gonioctena intermedia. Its description in RNAcentral is "tRNA-Val". The record is from RNAcentral. Lineage: Eukaryota; Metazoa; Arthropoda; Insecta; Coleoptera; Chrysomelidae.
CAAAUUAGAACUUGAUAUAAGUAUUUUAUUUACAUUAAAAUUAUAAUUGUGAAAUUCAAUUUAAUUUGA